Molecule: ribosomal RNA, 253 nt
Filed under: uncultured bacterium
Lineage: Bacteria
Description: partial 16S ribosomal RNA
Rfam family: Bacterial small subunit ribosomal RNA
Source: RNAcentral
UACGUAGGGGGCAAGCGUUAUCCGGAUUUACUGGGCGUAAAGAGCGCGUAGGCGGAAAUUUAAGCGUGGCCUGAAAGCCCCCGGCUCAACUGGGGAGGGUCACGCGAUACUGUUCGACUCGAAGGCAGGAGAGGGUAGUGGAAUUCCCGGUGUAGUGGUGAAAUGCGUAGAUAUCGGGAGGAACACCAGUGGCGAAGGCGACUACCUGGCCUGUUCUUGACGCUGAGGCGCGAAAGCUAGGGUAGCAAACGGG